AUGUGCAGAAGCUGUCUGUUUUACAGUGUGUGUGACAUUGCAAGAGAGUUCGAUUCGGACAAAAAUACCAAGAAUUCUGCAUCACAACAUGUCCCUCAGAUUUCAGUUUCAUCGCAGGCUAAUGCCGCGGGCUCCAAAGCCGGCACUGGGGCGUGUCUGGGUGACCGAAAGAAGUGGCGAGGCGUGGCGUGGCCAUGGCAAAAGUGCGGCGCGACGGCGAGGAGUAGGACAAGGACGGAGAGGCAGACAUCAACAAGGCCCAGCCCUAGGUCAGUGGCAGAGCUUCAGCGGAAGCAACGGCUGACCCAGACACGGGCCUUAGCACCCAGAACAGAGAAGCCAGCGCCGCAUUAG
RNAcentral lists this ribosomal RNA (354 nucleotides) under Triticum aestivum (bread wheat). RNAcentral's name for it is "partial small subunit ribosomal RNA". The record is from RNAcentral. Lineage: Eukaryota; Viridiplantae; Streptophyta; Magnoliopsida; Poales; Poaceae.